RNAcentral lists this long non-coding RNA (229 nucleotides) under Carica papaya (papaya). RNAcentral describes it as "long non-coding RNA (CPAP_LNC009587)". The record is from RNAcentral. Lineage: Eukaryota; Viridiplantae; Streptophyta; Magnoliopsida; Brassicales; Caricaceae.
CAUGAAUCCGGUGAUAUUAUCUGAAAAAUAAAUAGAAAAAAAAAGAAGGGAAUGAAGCCUGAAUGGUCCGAAAUAUAUAGGUAUCUGCAUUGACAUGCAUAAUGCAUCAAGUGUCUCGUUAGGCUUUUUAUCUCUGAGGGAUAUUUGUUUCCCCCUCCCCCAUAUGGUUUAGAAAGACAUGAGAGAAUCGCUCUCUAUGGAUGAUGGCAUACCCUCUGAUGAGAGCCGG